RNAcentral lists this ribosomal RNA (450 nucleotides) under uncultured bacterium. RNAcentral's name for it is "partial 16S ribosomal RNA". It matches the Rfam family "Bacterial small subunit ribosomal RNA", at positions 354 to 796 of the family's 1533-position model. The record is from RNAcentral.
GUGGGGAAUUUUGGACAAUGGGCGCAAGCCUGAUCCAGCAAUGCCGCGUGCAGGAAGAAGGCCUUCGGGUUGUAAACUGCUUUUGUACGGAACGAAACGGUCCUGGUUAAUACCUGGGGCUAAUGACGGUACCGUAAGAAUAAGCACCGGCUAACUACGUGCCAGCAGCCGCGGUAAUACGUAGGGUGCAAGCGUUAAUCGGAAUUACUGGGCGUAAAGCGUGCGCAGGCGGUUUUGUAAGAUCGAUGUGAAAUCCCCGGGCUCAACCUGGGAACUGCAUUGGUGACUGCAAGGCUGGAGUGCGGCAGAGGGGGAUGGAAUUCCGCGUGUAGCAGUGAAAUGCGUAGAUAUGCGGAGGAACACCGAUGGCGAAGGCAAUCCCCUGGGCCUGCACUGACGCUCAUGCACGAAAGCGUGGGGAGCAAACAGGAUUAGAAACCCGGGUAGUCC